GAUGAACGCUGGCGGCGUGCCUAAUACAUGCAAGUCGAGCGAAUGGAUUAAGAGCUUGCUCUUAUGAAGUUAGCGGCGGACGGGUGAGUAACACGUGGGUAACCUGCCCAUAAGACUGGGAUAACUCCGGGAAACCGGGGCUAAUACCGGAUAACAUUUUGAACCGCAUGGUUCGAAAUUGAAAGGCGGCUUCGGCUGUCACUUAUGGAUGGACCCGCGUCGCAUUAGCUAGUUGGUGAGGUAACGGCUCACCAAGGCAACGAUGCGUAGCCGACCUGAGAGGGUGGUAGGCCACACUGGGACUGAGACACGGCCCAGACUCCUACGGGAGGCAGCAGUAGGGAAUCUUCCGCAAUGGACGAAAGUCUGACGGAGCAGCGCCGCGUGAGUGAUGAAGGCUUUCGGGUCGUAAAACUCUGUUGUUAGGGAAGAACAAGUGCUAGUUGAAUAAGCUGGCACCUUGACGGUACCUAACCAGAAAGCCACGGCUAACUACGUGCCAGCCGCCGCCGUAA
RNAcentral lists this ribosomal RNA (515 nucleotides) under uncultured bacterium. RNAcentral's name for it is "partial 16S ribosomal RNA". It matches the Rfam family "Bacterial small subunit ribosomal RNA", at positions 28 to 523 of the family's 1533-position model. The record is from RNAcentral.